GACAGAGGGUGCAAACGUUGUUCGGAAUUACUGGGCGUAAAGCGCGUGUAGGCGGCUUCGCAAGUCGGAUGUGAAAUCCCACGGCUCAACCGUGGAAGUGCAUUCGAAACUGCAAGGCUAGAGUCCUGGAGAGGAAGGUGGAAUGCUUGGUGUAGAGGUGAAAUUCGUAGAUAUCAAGCGGAACACCGGUGGCGAAGGCGACCUUCUGGACAGUGACUGACGCUGAGACGCGAAAGCGUGGGGAGCAAACAGG
This 253-nucleotide ribosomal RNA is filed under the name uncultured bacterium. Its description in RNAcentral is "partial 16S ribosomal RNA". It matches the Rfam family "Bacterial small subunit ribosomal RNA", at positions 524 to 776 of the family's 1533-position model. The record is from RNAcentral.